GCUGCAUUCACCAGGCUGAUGUGAAGUCAGCUUGCAGUCAGCACUUCCUCAUUUUGAAGCUGUGUAAAUGAGUCACUGUAUUAAGGGAAGAUGUCUUCUGCUGCAAGGAAUAGGAAGUGGUGGCUGGCUGUUGUGGAUGCUGUGGUGGGCUUUGCUCUCAUCAGUACUGAAGCACUUGCUUCCCCAGUGUCUGGGAGUGUUGCUCACUUUGGCUCUUAGUUAAGUUCUUCUUUGGAAUUUGCCUUUUUUGUAUAAUGG
Molecule: long non-coding RNA, 258 nt
Filed under: Callithrix jacchus (white-tufted-ear marmoset)
Lineage: Eukaryota; Metazoa; Chordata; Mammalia; Primates; Cebidae
Description: lncRNA (ENSCJAG00000083957.1)
Source: RNAcentral